This 497-nucleotide ribosomal RNA is filed under the name uncultured bacterium. RNAcentral describes it as "partial 16S ribosomal RNA". It matches the Rfam family "Bacterial small subunit ribosomal RNA", at positions 28 to 507 of the family's 1533-position model. The record is from RNAcentral.
GAUGAACGCUGGCGGCGUGCCUAAUACAUGCAAGUCGAGCGAACGGACGAGAAGCUUGCUUUUCUGAUGUUAGCGGCGGACGGGUGAGUAACACGUGGAUAACCUACCUAUAAGACUGGGAUAACUUCGGGAAACCGGAGCUAAUACCGGAUAAUAUUUUGAACCGCAUGGUUCAAAAUUGAAAGACGGUCUUGCUGUCACUUAUAGAUGGUUCCUCGCUGCAUUAGCUAGUUGUUAAGGUAACGGCUUACCAAGGCAACGAUGCAUAGCCGACCUGAGAGGGUGAUCGGCCACACUGGAACGGAGACACGGUCCAGACGCCUACGGGAGGCAGCAGUAGGGAAUCUUCCGCAAUGGGCGAAAGCAUGACGGAGCAAAGCCGCGUGAGUGAUGAAGGUAUUCGGAUCGUAAAACUCUGUUAUUAGGGAAGAACAUAUGUGUAAGUAACUGUGCACAUCUUGACGGUACCUAAUCAGAAAGCCACGGCUAACUACGUG